Molecule: long non-coding RNA, 1753 nt
Organism: Salvelinus namaycush (lake trout)
Lineage: Eukaryota; Metazoa; Chordata; Actinopteri; Salmoniformes; Salmonidae
Exons: 3
Source: RefSeq, a predicted model, not a curated record
GGUGCUAUAAAAAAAUACUAAUAACCUUUUACCAUUCACAUAUUGUCAACACUCAUUAAGUUUACAUCAAUACUCCUUACCAAUAUCAUUGUCACCCAUAGUAAGGUUCAUAAAAUAAAAUAAACCUAACCAUGAUAAUUCCCUCCUUACUAGAAUACAAUGUUUACAUUGUAGUCUACCCUAACAAGAUUACUCUAUACUUUUAUACCAACCUCUGCUUCACACUCAUUAAACAUCUGUUAUUUUAAGAUUAACUUGUAAUGCCCAAAUGUAUAAAAUACAUCAGCCAAUUCUUAAGGAAAAACACAUUUAGGUGGGCACAAUACUACAGCCUAUUACCACCCAAAACUUAAAUCCAUUGCUGUUGUAGCCUUGUUUUAUCAUGAUCAUGGUCACAGCUUUAUCACAAUUGCCUAUUCUCUAUUAUUAGAAUUCAUUAGAUUUAGGCAACUGUCUCUUUUGAGUAGGCUACAAGUAAGAAAACAAACACUUGCAAUUGUUUACAAGCAUAUAUUCAGUUCAUGAUUCAAAUACGAUUCCAUUCUCACUAGGUUAUUCCAGCAGAGCAUUUAGGCCACACAACGUCUUAACUUCGAAAUCACCUCGCUAUUUAUGUUGAAUAAAUUUGCCUUUCUACAUAGUAAAAAAGGGGGUGUAAAAAGUACAGCGUUGACUUAUUUUAACCCAGGAUGAGUAUUUUCAACAUUAUGAGAAGUCAAUGAGCUCUAGUUUCGGGAAUUAAAUCGGAAUGUAAAAUGAUGCAGUCAUUGCAGUGUAAAUUCAACUCAAUUCAGUGGAAUGAAAAAACGCAGCAAUCCUCUGCUGUGGUUGAUCAUUAUUUUGACUUGCUUGUCAACGCAAUUGCUCCUGCACAUCCUCAAAUAAUCAAGUAAGUAACGUCAACAACUAAUAGCAAAGUUUUCACUUUGACAUUUACUUUAUUAUAGAGUAAUAGCUUAUUGAUGUUAAUUACGCGCACAAUUUUUGUUUCAAGCUUCUGUCUCAUCUGUUUGCGAGUCAGCAUCGAGCUCCCCUGUGUGGCGGUCGUAGUCUAACUAGCACUAACUAGCUAAUGUUAGGUAACUAGCGCUCUGAUAUGCACUGUUGAUGUUAUAAUUUAGGCAUACGUUUUUCCAUAUUGUUUGAGUUGAAAACUGCCCAUUAGCGUGCUCCUAUUGUGGAUGUAACAUGUUCUAGCUCAAUGUAACUCGCUAACAUUAGCCGUAACCAAACGUCAUCAUCACAGGGAUGCGUGGCAGCCAUUUUCAUGUUCGUUAACGUUAGCCCGCGAAAGACCGCAUUCACGCUGUCAGGUCACAAAGCCCUUGCACACCCCCCAUGCUUUUUGCUUUCAUCAAAUUCAGCAUACCAGAGGCAAGACAGUCUGACAUCAAAGUGUAUGACCAGUCUCACACAGAAAUUGACAGAGGUGUUUGAAGAGAUUGCAAAGGAGUCACCUGGCACCUUCUGGAUCACGAAGGACUUGCCUCUCAAUUAUCAUCGUCAUCCUCUGUAAGAUCUGAUGACACUAUAAUUCUGAAUUUCACUGUGUGUGACCAUCAUGAAGAAGCAGCCACUGGUGAAGGGAGCCAACCCAAAAGACAGUGCCGGAUAAACUGAGGCUAAAGUGGUAUUUGGUAGAAACUACUGUUUGGUGUAAUCUGUAUGUUUGUUUCAUAUUAUGGGAUUGGGGAGUGUUCUUGAGCUAAUUCUUUUCAAUUUUUACUAUUAAAAAAAUAAAAUCUUAUAGUUG